This is a non-coding RNA of Odocoileus virginianus texanus, 251 nucleotides long. The record is from RefSeq and is a predicted model, not a curated record. Lineage: Eukaryota; Metazoa; Chordata; Mammalia; Artiodactyla; Cervidae.
AUCUGCCCAUCCAAACACUACUUAUCCCAGCAUUCCUUGCAGCUAGGUGGGGGUCAUGUGACUUGUUCUCACCAAUGGAAUCCAACAGAGAGAGGAGUCUGAGGUCCAAGAAGAGGGCAGAGCUAUGAGAAAGAAGGAGCCUGGUUCCCUGACUGACUUCAUGGAAUGCUGUCCAUUGACAAAGCCUGAACACUUUUAGCAACAAGUGCAAAUCCAAAGAAGGGAACACCUUCAUCACUUGUAAGAAGGAG